GGGCGGUUACCACGGAGUGGUCAAUGACUGGGGUGAAGUCGUAACAAGGUAGCCCUAGGGGAACCUGGGGCUGGAUCACCUCCUUAAACGAUA
Molecule: ribosomal RNA, 93 nt
Filed under: Marinomonas sp. SBI8L
Lineage: Bacteria; Pseudomonadati; Pseudomonadota; Gammaproteobacteria; Oceanospirillales; Oceanospirillaceae
Also listed under: 1 other name
Description: partial 16S ribosomal RNA
Rfam family: Bacterial small subunit ribosomal RNA
Source: RNAcentral